Molecule: long non-coding RNA, 5469 nt
Filed under: Sus scrofa (pig)
Lineage: Eukaryota; Metazoa; Chordata; Mammalia; Artiodactyla; Suidae
Description: lncRNA (ENSSSCG00000056923.1)
Source: RNAcentral
GACCUCAAAAUUCUGUGGUCACUUUUUGCAGGGGGAGGGGGCGUCCAGCUUGCCCGUCCCUUGAGGGUCAAACACAGUGGGCAAAAGUGGCGGCUCCAAACGCCACAGCAGAAUGAAGGCGGUUCAAGGACCUCCAGGCACUGAGCCCAACGGUGGGCAGAAUGCUGAGUGCGUCUCCCUCUCCCCCGCCCCAGGGCUGCUGACCUUCCCAGGGUGACCUUUCUGACCUUCAGGAUUCCUUUCUCCUCAAGCGUCUUUCUGUCCUGCUUCUGUCCAGAGGAAGGAGAUGGGUGGCUAAGGGUUGAACUCUGUUUCCCCAAAUCGGAGUCCGACGUAACCCCCAGAACCUCAGAAUGGGAGCUGGUUGGGAAAUGAGGUCUUGAUGGAGGUCACUGGGCGGAGGUGCUAAUCCAGUGUGACCAGUGUCCCAAUAAAAGGGGGACAUUGGGACAGAGGGACAGACACCGAGGGACGAGGAUGUGGAGUGAUGCAGGGAGAAGAUGGCCAUCUGCAGGCCAAGGAGAGAGCCUGGAACAGUUCGUUCCUCCAGCCUCAGAAGGAACCAACCCUGCCCACACCUUAAUUUUAGACUUCCAGCCUCCAGGACUCUGAGAUGAUACACUCCUGCUGUCGAAGCCACUUAGUUCCCAGUACCUUGUUACAACAGCCCCCACAAACUCAAAGCCACACGAAAGUAACCUACAUCCUGGCACAAAUCCCAUUACAACAAUUCCAGGGGCAUUUUGGAUUUCCAAGAGAAGGAAAAAGUCACAGAAACUUUAUCGUAGAGGAUGGCACUCAGGCCACUUGGCAGUUUGGAGGGGUAGAGGAUGGGGGGCAGCAGAUCUCGGCACCCCCCCACCUUGCUCCACUCCUGCCAUCCCCCCGGGGUGCCAGUCCCCACAGCCUCCCCCAGCUCAGCCCCACCAGGCAUAUUUUCCUCCACAUUCUUCGGCCAGAGACCUUGGCGUGUGUUUAGCUGCUCCGUCUUGGUAUCCAGGAAACUGGGCAAUGCUCGCACCUGCCCCACCCCCCAAGAAAGCAGGGCUCCCUAGAGCUGGGACUUCUAGAAACACAAUGUUCCCGGUAAAAAGGUUUUAAAAAAAAAGGUAAAAAGAUUCCCUGGGGUCAUGUUCUCCUUAGCAGCUAAUGCGCUGUGCCCAGGCUUCAUUCUACCUCGAAUUUCUCGGCCUGGGUGUCCGAUGUAGGGCCUCUGGGGAGACCUGCACCUUUUUUUUUUUUUUUUUUUUUUUUUUGAAAGCGGCGCAUUUAAAGGGAGGGGAGGGGAUGCAUAAGUCAUUCGGAACAUCUUUGCUGUGUCCUUACUGUGCCCUCUCCCAGAUAAGCCUAAUUCAUCUAUUUGGCACUAAUUUAUUGAGCAUCUGCCCUGGGCCAGGAGAGGCUGGGGAGACAGUCAUGAAUAAGACUGACACUCCUCAUUUAAGAAGUCCCCGUUUGGAGGCGAAAGCCGCAGUGAACCCCUAUUUUGGGGUCUGAUGAUGGUUCUGAAAGGGCAAGGGUCGGCUCCACACCUCCUGCUGUUAACCUGUUAUCUGUGGUUCUUUAGAUAUCUUUUCCCAUCAAUCUUACAUUAUAAAUACACUGAGCACACAGGGAUUCUGCUGACAUAACGCCUCCCAGAAGCUUUUCUGCUCUAGGUGCCAAGAAGGCAGUUUUUAUCAGACAUUAGCAUGCAUGGUAAUCAGGUGGGGAGGUGUGAAAAUGCAGAUUCCCUGGCCUGGCCCUUAGAGUUGUGAAUGAGCGAGCCAGGGGGAAGGUUCAAAAUACCCAUUUUGAACACGCGUGUCCGGUGUGCGCUGCUCUUGAGAACGCUCUCCUAGGAUCAGAGGCCUCUUGCUGUUUUUCCCUGGAUGUCCACAAAAUAAAACGGGAAGCAGAAAAUCACGAAAAACGGAAAAUGGCCAAUGGCAGGAAGAAAGGAUUCUUUGGGUGGCCUUUUUAGGACUUUAUUUUUUUAGAGAAAUUUUAGGUUCACAGCAACAUGGAGAGGAAAGAUCAGAGAUUUCCUAUAGCCCCUCACCCCUGCGUACCACCCCCCACCCCCGGCACAGGUUCCUGGCAAUAUUUCCCACAUUUGUUAAAAUUGAUGAACCUCCGUUGAUGCAUUCUUAUCACCCAAGGUCAUAAUUUACAACAGGCCUCACUCCGGGUCGUGUACAUUCUAUGAGUUUGGGCAAAUACGUAAUGACAGGUGUCUGCCAUUAUUGUGUCACCCAGAAGCGUUUCACUGCCCGGAAACGCUUCUGGGCUCUGGCUAUUCAUCUUCUCUUCCCCUCAACUCCUGGCCAAUCACUGAUCCUUUUGUUGUCUCCAUCGCUCUGCCUUUUCCAGAAGGUCAUGUAGUUGCAACAGUACAGUGCAGCUUCUUUAGAUUGGCUUUUUUCAUUUGGUAACAUGCAUUUAAGAUUCUUCCAUGUCUUUUCAUGGCUUGACAGCUCAUUUCUUCAUAGCGCUGAGGAGUAUUUCAUUGUCUGGAUGGAUCACAGGUCAUUUCUGCUCCAUGGACCCCUUCCUCUUUCGAUAAAAAGUAGUGAAAAAUUCAUGAGCUUCUGGCAUUGGAUGGAAAGCUUUCCAUCACACUUGGAUUUCUUGGACUUUCUUAGGAUUGGGGGCGGGGUACAGGUGCUUGGGACUCACAGGCGCUGAAUCGAACCUGGACCAAGAAAACGAGGUCGGUGGAUGAGAUGGUUAUGGCAGACACCCAUGUGUCUGUCCUCUGGCCUACAGGUGACAGAGUGGUGGGAACCUGCUCUGAGGUGAGUGUCCCCACUCGGGAGUUGGUCUCAGUAGGAUUCCUGCAUCAGCUCUGCCAUGCGAUUCUCAGAUAUCAUCCUGGGGCCAAAAAAGAGAGCCUUGCCACCGUCUAGGGAGCUAUGUGUCUUUAGACAAUCACCUUGCCCUCUCUGAGCCUUGGUCUGCUUCUCUGCAGAUCAGUGGUUUCCGAGGUCUCCUCUCUCUUGGACAUUAAAUGCCGUGGCCACAUAAAUCAGUUAUCGCUCCUGUCCCAUCACCCCCCCCCACCCCCGUGCAACCUGCCCCUGCCCUUUGGUCAGCCCGGCUUGGAGAACAACACGAGGCACAGAGAAACUGCUCGGUCCCCCUCAGCAGACGGCUGCUUGGUUCUCAGACGUGAUGCUUGGUUCUCAGACGUGACCACGCUGGGUCUGGCACAUCUCUGAACUAUCUGAACGGGUUAGAAAGAAGGCAGCGGAGACAGUGGUGUUUUUCCCUUUCAGGAUCCCCUUCCUUUCCCUUCAGCUCCAUCCAGCUGCUGGUGCGCUGGGCCCCUGACCCUGAAGCCAAUUUCCCUCCCACUCCUGUGACUCAUACCUUUCAUCACGUCUCAGGAGAGGGGCGUCUGUCACUUCCUUCUCCUGAUGAGCGGGAGGGCCUUGGGCAGAAUCUGAGCUGUAACUCGGCUUGGCCAGGACCAGCCAUAAUCCUUGAGCAAUUAGCAGAGCUGGGAGGUCUGCUUCUAGAGCAGGUCCUGUGCGCAUCGGGGUGAAGGAAGUUUCCUGCUUUCUUAGACACGUCCCCUCCCUCCCCCAGCUUCCUGCUUAAAGCCUUAAGAAGAAAGGAAGCAUUCUUGCCUGUUUUUUCCUUCUAUCUCUUUGAGUCCUGAUUCUGGAGGACACUGAGGAUUAUUGGCUUUGGAGGGAAGAAUUCUGCGUUUUGUUUUUUGUUUUUUGUUUUUUGGGUUUUUUUGCUGGCAGCCUGCAGAUCUUGCCUCCCUCCACGGCUCUGACCCUUUCCCCAGGAGACUUUCAGAGAGGAUCUUUGCUGAAAACCCAACCAGAAUCCUGGCCCAUGUGUUUAGGAGGGGAAAGCUUCCUUUAUGUGUGCUUUUCAGUGUGUUCCUAUAAUGACAGCUUGAUGUUAUUAUGAUGAAGCCCAUGUGUUUGCUACCAAGGCGUUAGGAAAGACACCAUAGAAAGCCACACCAACACAAGGUUUUGGGAAGUCAAGGGAUAGGACCUGAUUUAAGAGUGAGGCAUGAUGGUAAGAACAAAAGAUAGAGCUCUUUAGCUGUGUACCCACACUCACAGAUUCUUGGGAUGUGAAGUGGAGGAGAGAAAAAACCUGAGGGCUGGUGGCAGACAGAGCCGGUGACUUAAAAUGCACAAAUACGGGGCCAAGGACCCAUUUGCAAGGAUUCUGGAAUCUAUAGAUUGCUGUGAUGCUGAGCUGUAUACCCCGCCCCGCCCCCACCCCCUCCCGCCAAACUCUGACUCAUUUCCAAGUGUUUAUACAGCUCACCGUGUACCAGCGAUUGUCUCAAGCACCCUACAUAUUUAACUCAUUUAAUUAAAUUUCCAUUGAGCUUUGCCUUUUCUAGAUUUAUGGAAUUUUCACCUGGAGACUUUUAGUGAAAUCUGGGAUCACUCCUCACCCAGAGGAGCUCCUGGCGUGGUGACAGAUGAUUCUAGAUUCCAGCCCAUGCUUUCCCUCUUAGCACCUGCAUCUCUGUGGCCUGGCCUGGCCAGUCCUGGGAAUGUUUAACCCUUCGUGGGCUCCACAGGACAAGAGCUAGCAAACAGGAAUGGGGGGAGGGAGGACUGCCCAGCCCGGAGAAUGGGGAAGCUGGUAGAGCUAGGAUGGGAGAAGGACCGAGAGCUGAAAGCAAGCUCAGAGCCAAGCUGCUGGCAACCAGCUGAGAUGAUUUUUGCUAAGAUGUACCAUCCCAGCAGAGGGAGGGAGAAGUGUUAAAAACAGUGAGAGGGUGAGACGGGCUUCUGAUUCAGUCACUCCUCCCCCUUAGCUCAUUUCGAGCGAGUUCAUCUCAUGACGGUGAGCAAGGAGGUUCUGAUGAGCUAAUAUUCCCAAGAACUCGGUAGGAGGGGUCACCUUUCUUGCCAGGGCCACAUCCUGCUCUUUGAAGGAUGGCUUUUGAAGAAGGACCAGAGCCAGGAUUGAUGCAAAGUAAACAGGCGACACGGUGGCUUUGCAUGGAUCUGGUGAUUCGGUCCAUCUCAAAGCCUCCUCUCUGUCCUUCCUCCCGAACUGAGCACCAGCCACCUCUUUGGGGUGCUGACUGUAGGGAGGUGAUGGUGACAGCCCUGAUAGGUUGACAUUCUUCCCAGGGGCCCUUUGUGGGUGUAGUGGUCAAAGGAAUUCUUCCACCUGAGUGAGGGCAUGUGUCGAGACCUGGGGCUGAGGAGCCCAGAACUCAAGGUGAAGGCAAAUCAGAGGAAGCCUAUUAAGAAGAGUCAGAGAUUGGAGUUCCCAUAGUGGUGCAGUGGAAACAAAUCCGACUAGGAACCAUGAGUGUGGGUUUGAUCCCUGGCCUCGCUCAGAGGGUUAAGAUCCAGUGUUGCCAUGACCUGUGGUGUGGGUCACAGACGCGGCUGGGAUCUGGCGUUGCUGUGGCUGUGGCAUAGGCUGGCAUCUGUAGCUUGGAUUAGACUCCUAGCCUGGGAAGCUCCAUAUGCUGCAGGUUUGGCCCUCAAA